Molecule: long non-coding RNA, 531 nt
Organism: Scylla paramamosain (green mud crab)
Lineage: Eukaryota; Metazoa; Arthropoda; Malacostraca; Decapoda; Portunidae
Exons: 4
Source: RefSeq, a predicted model, not a curated record
GUGGUAUAGCAGCCGCACACACCUUGUUGCAGUGAAACCUGUGCUGUGGAGUUAUUCCCUGUGAGCGCCAGAGAUUGUUGGACCGUUCACCCUCACGUUCACCCUCACGUUCACCAUAUGGGACAAGUGAACACACACAAGAAUGAACGAGUGUCAAUAACCUGGCGUAAUAAUAUACCAAGAAGAAAUACCCUUGUCUAACGACCCUCAGUGGCUGUUAUACCUCACUAUACCCCUCUCCUUUACCCAUUCCUUACCCUCCCCAUCACCAACUAUGAAAAACACACACUACACCUCUCUCCUGCUACCUUUCCUACCAUUCCCUUGCCAUCUCCUUCCCCUCCCUGGCCCUCUCCUUCCCUCUCCCCUCCCAUCUCUCCCCCCACGCACCCUGAGGUAGAUUAACGAGUGAUCAGCUGAGAAUUCACGAUGACACACUGACGGGACCCAGAUACGGAUCCGAUGGCGGUUACAGGAGUUUCGGUCCCCGCAGGUGGUACAGCAAAACAACAAACGAGAGAGAGAGAGAGA